CUCAGGAGGAUUUGCCAGGGCUGAGCGCAGGGAGGAGAAGGCAAGAUUGAUUUAUGGCAGUGAUAAAGAGGAGAGUGAGAAUAAGAUAGAUACAUACAAAAUUCCGGCUACAUUUAUUGGGGAAUUGGAGCAUCAGGAGCCUGUUGAAUCUCGGACAGAAUUAUAUGAAAAAGAUCCAGGUUCAAGUAUGGAAAAUCAUGAAUCAGAAUCAGGGGAAGAGAGUGAGUGUGAGUACAGAGGUUUACCACUGACAAGGGCCAUAAAUAAUGAGGAGGUGGGUCAAAUACACACGCAGAGUAAGGGGCCCGUUUCAGGAAUGCUGCAGUUCCAGGCCCCUCUGAUACAGAAAAGAGGAGGACAGGAACCGGUAUAUGUUCCAUUUGCAAUUACAGACAUCAAUUGUUUAGUGGAUAAGAUGCCCCCACCCGCAGAGGGAGGCGGCAAGUGGAUGUCCAGCCUUUUUAGCUUAACACAGAGCAUGCAGCUGGCGAUGGGAGACUUUAGAGGAAUUCUAGGGAGACAAGUCUCUCUCUGGGAUUUGGAUAAAGUUGAGGUAGCAGCAGGCAUUAAAGAUAGACCUAAUGCUGCACGUUUUGGACCUUGUGCAACCAGGGUUGGUGAAGCUAUGAGACAGGUAUUUCCAAUAUCUCCAGGAGCAAUGCAGAAUUUAAGAUUUAAGUGGGAGGAAAGUGAGUCGGCACAUGGGUUCCUUACGAGGUGUAAAGAGGAAUGGAUGUGUGCCACAGGGUGCCAUCCUGGCUCAGAUAAUCUACACACCACUUUAUUCCGUCAGGCCAUAAUUUUAGGACUUCCACAAUCAGUGAAAGAAACUAUGGAAGGAAAUCCUGACCUUCCAGGCAGCACAGCGGAUGUCUGGGAGAGACAUCUCUCUCACCACAUCAACACAUUUAAAGCUAAACAACAGGGAAAGAGAGAGGAGGUGAUGACAGCGCAGGAACAGCUCCUAAAAAUACAGUUAGAUGAAGCACUGAAAAAGCUUAAUGAUAAACAAAAGGAAGAGAAACAGAUGGUUCAGCAGUUUCCUCGGCAGGUGCAGCCAGAUCAGUUAUGUCCGCAACAGGA
Molecule: long non-coding RNA, 1083 nt
Filed under: Takifugu rubripes (torafugu)
Lineage: Eukaryota; Metazoa; Chordata; Actinopteri; Tetraodontiformes; Tetraodontidae
Description: lncRNA (ENSTRUG00000033142.1)
Source: RNAcentral